Molecule: ribosomal RNA, 341 nt
Filed under: uncultured soil bacterium
Lineage: Bacteria
Description: bacterial SSU rRNA
Rfam family: Bacterial small subunit ribosomal RNA
Source: RNAcentral
AGAUUGAACGCUGGCGGCAGGCCUAACACAUGCAAGUCGAGCGGUAGAGAGGUGCUUGCAUCUCUUGAGAGCGGCGGACGGGUGAGUAAUGCCUAGGAAUCUGCCUAGUGGGUGGGGGAUAACGUUCGGAAACGGACGCUAAUACCGCAUACGUCCUACGGGAGAAAGCGGGGGACCUUCGGGCCUCGCGCCAUUAGAUGAGCCUAGGUCGAUUAGCUAGUUGGUGAGGUAAUGCUCACCGAAGGCGACGAUCCGUAACUGGUCUGAGAGGAUGACUCAGUCAACACUGGAACUGGAGACACGGUCCAGACCACCGUACGGGUGCAGCAGUCGAGAAUCUA